UGGAAGGUAGCUCAGUGGUAGAGCACUUGUCUAGGAUGUAUGAGGCCCUUAGUUCAAUUCCCAGCAUUCAAG
Molecule: transfer RNA, 72 nt
Filed under: Neotoma lepida (desert woodrat)
Lineage: Eukaryota; Metazoa; Chordata; Mammalia; Rodentia; Cricetidae
Rfam family: tRNA
About the family: Transfer RNA (tRNA) molecules are approximately 80 nucleotides in length. Their secondary structure includes four short double-helical elements and three loops (D, anti-codon, and T loops).
Source: Rfam by way of RNAcentral